GCCCGAUUAGUUCAGCUGAAUGUCUGCCUACGGAGCAGAUGGUCGUAGGUUCGAAUCCUGCAUCGGGUA
This 69-nucleotide transfer RNA is filed under the name Perkinsus olseni. RNAcentral describes it as "tRNA-Arg". It matches the Rfam family "tRNA". Rfam says of the family: Transfer RNA (tRNA) molecules are approximately 80 nucleotides in length. Their secondary structure includes four short double-helical elements and three loops (D, anti-codon, and T loops). Further hydrogen bonds mediate the characteristic L-shaped molecular structure. tRNAs have two regions of fundamental functional importance: the anti-codon, which is responsible for specific mRNA codon recognition, and the 3' end, to which the tRNAs corresponding amino acid is attached (by aminoacyl-tRNA synthetases). tRNAs cope with the degeneracy of the genetic code in two manners: having more than one tRNA (with a specific anti-codon) for a particular amino acid; and 'wobble' base-pairing, i.e. permitting non-standard base-pairing at the 3rd anti-codon position. The record is from RNAcentral. Lineage: Eukaryota; Perkinsozoa; Perkinsida; Perkinsidae.